Molecule: RNase P RNA, 407 nt
Filed under: Enhydrobacter sp.
Lineage: Bacteria; Pseudomonadati; Pseudomonadota; Alphaproteobacteria; Hyphomicrobiales
Description: RNase P RNA component class A
Rfam family: Bacterial RNase P class A
About the family: Ribonuclease P (RNase P) is a ubiquitous endoribonuclease, found in archaea, bacteria and eukarya as well as chloroplasts and mitochondria.
Source: RNAcentral
UCAGACGGCCGGAUGGCUGCGCUUGGAUGGGCAACCGUCCGGGUGAGGAAAGUCCGGGCUCCACGGAAACACGGUGCCGGCUAACGGCCGGCGGGGGCGACCCCAGGGAAAGUGCCACAGAGAACAGACCGCCUGUCCGCUUCGCCCUUGGGUGAUCGGAUCGGCAAGGGUGAAACGGUGGGGUAAGAGCCCACCGCGCGACCGGCAACGGGAGCGGCACGGCAAACCCCACCGGGAGCAAGACCAAAUAGGGACGGCACGCCGGGAAACCGGCACGCGGGUUUCCGCGCCGUCGUCCGGGUCGGUCGCGCGAGGUGUUCGGCAACGGGCAUCCCAGAGGAAUGGCCAUCUCCCGUCCAGGUUCGCUUGGGUGGGGACAGAACCCGGCUUACAGGCCGUCUGACUCU